UAUCUCUGUAGAGUCUGCAUAUCAAUAAGCGGAGGAAAAGAAACUAACUAGGAUUCCCUCAGUAACGGCGAGUGAAGCGGGAAGAGCUCAAAUUUGAAAUCUUCAAGGUUUUACCUUGACGAAUUGUAGUUUAAAGAAGUGUUUUCUGUUGGAGUUUUGGUAAAAGUUCUUUGGAAUAGGACAUCAUAGAGGGUGAGAAUCCCGUAUUUGACCAUUAUUUCCAGCUUUGUGAUACACUUUCAAAGAGUCGGAUUGUUUGGGAAUGCAGUCCAAAAUGGGUGGUAAAUUUCAUCUAAAGCUAAAUACUGGCGAGAGACCGAUAGCGAACAAGUACCGUGAGGGAAAGAUGAAAAGAACUUUGAAAAGAGAGUUAAACAGUACGUGAAAUUGUCAAAAGGGAAGCGUUUGACACCAGUGUUGUUUUCUCGAAAAUCAAUUAAAAAUGGCGGGAUUUUGUGUUGUAUUGACUUUAUCAGCUUUCUGCACUCUUUUCCUGUCUUUUUUAAUGCACUUUUCGUUUAACAAGUCAACAUCAAUUUCUUUUGUUGUAAAAGAGUCAUUGGAAGGUGGCUUUCUUUUCGGAGAAAGUGUUUAUAGCCUUUGGCUUCUGCAAUCGGAGAGAUUGAGGUCUGCAGCGUAGAUCCUUCGGGGUUAGAUACAUUUGUGCUAAGUUAUAGCCUUUCAUAGACAACUUGUCGACUAUGAUCAGUCAUGUAGCUUACUCGCUUAUGCUAUUUUACCUACGCUUAGGAUGUUGAGUCAUCACACAUCUCU
RNAcentral lists this ribosomal RNA (774 nucleotides) under uncultured Neocallimastigales. Its description in RNAcentral is "partial large subunit ribosomal RNA". It matches the Rfam family "Eukaryotic large subunit ribosomal RNA", at positions 24 to 618 of the family's 3401-position model. Lineage: Eukaryota; Fungi; Neocallimastigomycota; Neocallimastigomycetes; Neocallimastigales. The record is from RNAcentral.